CGGCACCCAUUCACUGCAGAGGAUCCACUGGUAAUUGCAACACAUGCCAAAUGUGUAGUUUCAUCACAUCAAAACACUGGGAAUAAUUAGGAAGAUUUUGGGUCUUUCCAGCAGCCACUCAUUUCAGUCUCCCACCGAUGACCCAGCGAGGGGCCAGACACGAGAUGAUUGUUUGUGGCAUUGAUGUAACGUCUAGAAGAGCUUCAGUCUGUAAUUAUGUGAAGUGCUCAUGAAGGAGACAGACACGGUGAAGAUAAAU
This is a long non-coding RNA of Sinocyclocheilus grahami, 259 nucleotides long. RefSeq lists it as uncharacterized. NCBI's taxonomy places the organism in Eukaryota, Metazoa, Chordata, Actinopteri, Cypriniformes, Cyprinidae. The transcript has 3 exons. The record is from RefSeq and is a predicted model, not a curated record.